Molecule: ribosomal RNA, 254 nt
Filed under: uncultured bacterium
Lineage: Bacteria
Description: partial 16S ribosomal RNA
Rfam family: Bacterial small subunit ribosomal RNA
Source: RNAcentral
UACGAAGGGGGCUAGCGUUGUUCGGAAUCACUGGGCGUAAAGGGCGCGUAGGCGGCUUUAUAAGUCGGGGGUGAAAGCCUGUGGCUCAACCACAGAAUUGCCUUCGAUACUGUAGAGCUUGAGACCGGAAGAGGUAAGUGGAACUGCGAGUGUAGAGGUGAAAUUCGUAGAUAUUCGCAAGAACACCAGUGGCGAAGGCGGACUUACUGGUCCGGUACGUGACGCUGAGGUGCGAAAGCGUGGGGAGCAAACAG